RNAcentral lists this ribosomal RNA (895 nucleotides) under Niesslia sp. 'griseo-ochraceum'. RNAcentral describes it as "LSU rRNA". It matches the Rfam family "Eukaryotic large subunit ribosomal RNA", at positions 36 to 963 of the family's 3401-position model. Lineage: Eukaryota; Fungi; Ascomycota; Sordariomycetes; Hypocreales; Niessliaceae. The record is from RNAcentral.
UAGCAUAUCAAUAAGCGGAGGAAAAGAAACCAACAGGGAUUGCCCCAGUAACGGCGAGUGAAGCGGCAACAGCUCAAAUUUGAAAUCUGGCCUCACGGCCCGAGUUGUAAUUUGCAGAGGAUGCUUUUGGCGCGGCGCCUUCCGAGUGCCCUGGAACGGGACGCCAUAGAGGGUGAGAGCCCCGUCUGGUUGGAUGCCUAGCCUCUGUAAAGCUCCUUCGACGAGUCGAGUAGUUUGGGAAUGCUGCUCAAAAUGGGAGGUAUAUGUCUUCUAAAGCUAAAUAUUGGCCAGAGACCGAUAGCGCACAAGUAGAGUGAUCGAAAGAUGAAAAGCACUUUGAAAAGAGGGUUAAAUAGUACGUGAAAUUGUUGAAAGGGAAGCGCUUGUGACCAGACUUGGGCUUGGUGAAUCAUCCGGCGUUCUCGCCGGUGCACUUUGCCUGUCCAGGCCAGCAUCAGUUCGCUCCGGGGGAUAAAGGCGUGGGGAAUGUGGCUCCUCCGGGAGUGUUAUAGCCCCGCGUGUAAUACCCUGUGGCGGACUGAGGUUCGCGCUCCGCAAGGAUGCUGGCGUAAUGGUCAUCAGCGACCCGUCUUGAAACACGGACCAAGGAGUCGUCUUCGUAUGCGAGUGUUCGGGUGUCAAACCCCUACGCGUAAUGAAAGUGAACGCAGGUGAGAGCUUCGGCGCAUCAUCGACCGAUCCUGAUGUUCUCGGAUGGAUUUGAGUAAGAGCAUACGGGGCCGGACCCGAAAGAAGGUGAACUAUGCCUGUAUAGGGUGAAGCCAGAGGAAACUCUGGUGGAGGCUCGCAGCGGUUCUGACGUGCAAAUCGAUCGUCAAAUAUGGGCAUGGGGGGCGAAAGACUAAUCGAACCUUCUAGUAGCUGGUUUCCGCGA